UCCAGCAGCCGCGGUAAUACGUAGGUGGCAAGCGUUGUCCGGAUUUAUUGGGCGUAAAGCGAGCGCAGGCGGUUUUUUAAGUCUGAUGUGAAAGCCUUCGGCUCAACCGAAGAAGUGCAUCGGAAACUGGGAAACUUGAGUGCAGAAGAGGACAGUGGAACUCCAUGUGUAGCGGUGAAAUGCGUAGAUAUAUGGAAGAACACCAGUGGCGAAGGCGGCUGUCUGGUCUGUAACUGACGCUGAGGCUCGAAAGUAUGGGUAGCAAACAGGAUUAGAUACCCUGGUAGUCCAUACCGUAAACGAUGAAUGCUAAGUGUUGGAGGGUUUCCGCCCUUCAGUGCUGCAGCUAACGCAUUAAGCAUUCCGCCUGGGGAGUACGGCCGCAAGGCUGAAACUCAAAGGAAUUGACGGGGGCCCGCACAAGCGGUGGAGCAUGUGGUUUAAUUCGAAGCUACGCGAAGAACCUUACCAGGUCUUGACAUACUAUGCAAAUCUAAGAGAUUAGACGUUCCCUUCGGGGACAUGGAUACAGGUGGUGCAUGGUUGUCGUCAGCUCGUGUCGUGAGAUGUUGGGUUAAGUCCCGCAACGAGCGGCACCCUUAUUAUCAGUUGCCAGCAUUAAGUUGGGCACUCUGGUGAGACUGCCGGUGACAAACCGGAGGAAGGUGGGGAUGACGUCAAAUCAUCAUGCCCCUUAUGACCUGGGCUACACACGUGCUACAAUGGAUGGUACAACGAGUUGCGAACUCGCGAGAGUAAGCUAAUCUCUUAAAGCCAUUCUCAGUUCGGAUUGUAGGCUGCAACUCGCCUACAUGAAGUCGGAAUCGCUAGUAAUCGCGGAUCAGCAUGCCGCGGUGAAUACGUUCCCGGGCCUUGUACACACCGCCCGUCACACCAUGAGAGUUUGUAACACCCAAAGUCGGUGGGGUAACCUUUUAGGAACCAGCCGCCUAAGGUGGGACAGAUGAUUAGGGUGAAGUCGUAACAAGGUAAC
Molecule: ribosomal RNA, 994 nt
Filed under: Lactiplantibacillus plantarum
Lineage: Bacteria; Bacillati; Bacillota; Bacilli; Lactobacillales; Lactobacillaceae
Description: bacterial SSU rRNA
Rfam family: Bacterial small subunit ribosomal RNA
Source: RNAcentral